GUGACGCCAUUGUCUUGGGCUGAGUGGAUUGUUGUUUUGUAUCUUUCAUUUCCUGUUAUUAUAAUUGACGAGAUACUGAAGUUCUUCUCAAGAAAUACAAGUGGAGCACGAUCCAAGUUCAGAGUGAGAAGAGCUGAUAUACUUCCAAAGACAGAAUUACAUAAUAAAUGACAAGUGGAAUAUGUACCAAAUUUGGCGCGACGUUCAGGUUGGCCUACUAACCUACAGUUUGUUGUGAAACACCAUUCAGUCAUGUUUCUCUCUUCUGCUUUCAUCUGCAUUGUGCCGAGGAACUACCUAAGAUGUUUCCAAUACAACCGCACAGACUAUUCCAGUCUGCUGUGAGUUUUAUUCUCAUUCACUGAUGCCAAUUGGCUUUAUAUGUUGUAAGAAAUAGAAAAAGGACAACUGCGAGUAUUUUCGGAUCUCAUAGACUACUUUUCUCAAAAUGCUGUUUGACAAUAAUUUAUAGAAUUUAAGGGGUUUUGGUUUGGCAUAGAACAAGUACUACUCACGACCGCCUUCUUGUAUACAAUUUGCCCUCAAAAUACAUGGUCCUGAAGUUAUGUUGAAACAACAUUGUUCAGAUUGAUUUUUUAAGCAGUUGAAUCUUUGUCCAUGAUGACUCAAAUUCUCGUUGCCAGAGGUUGCUUUUUCUUUUUAAGAUAAUGGAGGUUCAUGGGCUGCCGAAGAUUUAUAUUUUAUUUUAUUAUUACAAUGUAUUACAUACUAAUGAGUCACAAUAACAAUAUAUGUCAUUAUUACAAAGAAAAUUGCCACCCAAGAUUGCUCAUAAAGGUUCAAGAGACAUCUACCUUUUGAACGUAGCAAAGUUAGUAGUGUUGGUGAGAUAUGCUGGCUAGUAGUAGUUGUAUUGUACCAGGUUGAUUCAGCAGCCCUCAAACUGCCAAUCUUGAAACUUGGCAGUUGGUUGAAGAUGGCAGUUUCGAACCAGCUGGAUGGAACCAGUGGGAGGAGAAGGAUCAAGUCGAGCAGUGUCGAUGGCCCAUUGGACCAGUUUCUGCACUCCAUCUUAAUCCACUCCAUCAUCACUUGCAAUUGUUCUAUUACUUAUUGGGACGCAGUCAAGGAUCAGAAGAAAAAAGAAAAGCGAAGAAGAGAGGUCUUGAGAGCAGUGAAUUGAGCAAACAGAUCAUAUUUGCUAUAGUUGAUGUUGCUAUCAAAGCUGUGACCUUCUUCCCAUCAUCACUGUGAUCGGUUGUUGUUUCAUAUUCUGUUUUUUUUUUUGUUACUGUACUGUUUAAGAAGACAAUAAAGUGUUACUUUGAUAGUCAGUAAAAUGUUAUUGUGAAAUA
Camellia sinensis is the source of this 1316-nucleotide non-coding RNA. Lineage: Eukaryota; Viridiplantae; Streptophyta; Magnoliopsida; Ericales; Theaceae. The record is from RefSeq and is a predicted model, not a curated record.